AGUUGUUUACUGAAAACAGACUUGUUUUGAAAGCAGGCUUUGAGGGUUUAAAUCCCUCAACAACUU
This 66-nucleotide transfer RNA is filed under the name Clavatula tripartita. RNAcentral's name for it is "tRNA-Ser". It matches the Rfam family "tRNA". From Rfam's summary of the family: Transfer RNA (tRNA) molecules are approximately 80 nucleotides in length. Lineage: Eukaryota; Metazoa; Mollusca; Gastropoda; Neogastropoda; Clavatulidae. The record is from RNAcentral.